AAAUAAUCCCGUUUUGAUUGUCACUUAAAUUGGAAAAACUCCCUUAUAUACCCUUUUACGGGGGUGUAAGGUAAAAGGAGGUGUGACAGCACUGGCGACUCUGCUGGGGAUCAGAACCCAGAACUUCUGGUUCAGGGUUCAAGAAUUCGAGCUUAUUUAUUGGCCCUUUUACGGGGGUGUAAGGUAAAAGGAGGUGUGACAGCACUGGCGAGACUCUGCUGGGGAUCAGAACCCAGAACUUCUGGUUCAGGGUUCAAGAAUUCGAGCUUAUUUAUUGGCUUUAUUUAGUAUCUGAUUUUAUUGCAUGUUUGAGCUUAAUGUGCUAAAUGCCGCUUUUUACCGCUUUGAUAUUAUUUGAAUAGUAUAUAAACUGUUACGAAACCCUUCUCUUCUCAUCUUCGGGGAUGUGCAUGCUGGCGUGACUCCUCUUUCUGUUAGUGUCCUACCUUGAAAUAAGAAAGAGGCUCGGACAAGUUACAAAGCCGGAUGGCCUUUUGGUUCCCGGUACGUAGCCCCCUCCUCGGCUCGAGUUGUCCGCUCGAGUACACAAGUCUAGAACAAUAUACCCAGAUUUUUAGCUUAGAAUAACUCAGCCUCAUGCCGGAUCCCUAGUAGGAACGUUUGUUUGUAUCAUGUGCAUUUGACUUUGGGGACUCAACACAGGGGUUGGGUCCGUCUAGGACAGGUGCACCCAAAUUAAAAGACCCAUCCUGAUACAUCUUACGUGCUACUUGCGUAUCUGUCUAUUUCGGUUUGCAUGCUGACUGGCUUCUAGAAUAGGGAAAGAAAAUUAAAAAAAAUGAAAAUCAAAAAAAAAAAGAGUGAGAGGUAGGUAUUUAGAAAAUUCUGAAACUCUGCCGAAGUUCUGAAAAAAAAAAGAAA
RNAcentral lists this long non-coding RNA (882 nucleotides) under Nicotiana tabacum (common tobacco). Its description in RNAcentral is "long non-coding RNA (NTAB_LNC012116)". Lineage: Eukaryota; Viridiplantae; Streptophyta; Magnoliopsida; Solanales; Solanaceae. The record is from RNAcentral.